GUAUUUAUGAUGACGUCAGCAAGGUAGAGUGGCGCGCGGCGGCUGCCACUCCGGUUUGGACGCGCGAGAGCUUCUGCUCGAGACCUGAAGACGCUUCCUGAGUUUCGGUAAAACAGCAAGUUAUACAGGGUUAGAACAACAUUAAACAUUAGCUCAAGGCCGAUGUGUCCAUCCCGUGUAAACAUUGAGAUUGUCAGUAGGGGAGAGUGA
This 210-nucleotide long non-coding RNA is filed under the name Sinocyclocheilus anshuiensis. RNAcentral's name for it is "lncRNA (ENSSANG00000016506.1)". Lineage: Eukaryota; Metazoa; Chordata; Actinopteri; Cypriniformes; Cyprinidae. The record is from RNAcentral.